UACGAAGGUGGCGAGCGUUGUUCGGAAUUACUGGGCUUAAAGGGCGCGUAGGCGGAACAGUAAGCGUUUUGUGAAAUCCCCCGGCUUAACCGGGGAAUUGCUUGAUGAACUGCUGUUCUUGAGGCAAGUAGGGGUGCAUGGAACUCUUGGUGGAGCGGUGGAAUGCGUAGAUAUCAAGAGGAACGCCUGUGGAGAAAUCGGUGCACUGGGCUUGUUCUGACGCUGAGGCGCGAAAGCGUGGGGAGCAAACGGG
This 253-nucleotide ribosomal RNA is filed under the name uncultured bacterium. RNAcentral describes it as "partial 16S ribosomal RNA". It matches the Rfam family "Bacterial small subunit ribosomal RNA", at positions 524 to 776 of the family's 1533-position model. The record is from RNAcentral.